This 345-nucleotide unclassified non-coding RNA is filed under the name soil metagenome. RNAcentral describes it as "partial contains 5.8S ribosomal RNA, internal transcribed spacer 2, and large subunit ribosomal RNA". The stretch from base 1 to 120 matches the Rfam family "5.8S ribosomal RNA", at positions 35 to 154 of the family's 154-position model. The record is from RNAcentral.
GAUGAAGAACGUAGCGAAAUGCGAUAAGUGAUGUGAAUUGCAGAAUUCAGUGAAUCAUCGAAUCUUUGAACGCACAUUGCGCCCGCCAGUAUUCUGGCGGGCAUGCCUGUCCGAGCGUCAUUUCAACCCUCAAGCCCCCGGGCUUGGUGUUGGAGAUCGGCGAGCCCCCCGGGGCGCGCCGUCUCCCAAAUAUAGUGGCGGUCCCGCUGUAGCUUCCUCUGCGUAGUAGCACACCUCGCACUGGGAAACAGCGUGGCCACGCCGUAAAACCCCCCACUUCUGAAAGGUUGACCUCGGAUCAGGUAGGAAUACCCGCUGAACUUAAGCAUAUCAAUAAGCGGAGGA